This 333-nucleotide ribosomal RNA is filed under the name uncultured eukaryote. RNAcentral's name for it is "partial 18S ribosomal RNA". It matches the Rfam family "Eukaryotic small subunit ribosomal RNA", at positions 1470 to 1796 of the family's 1831-position model. The record is from RNAcentral.
CCCUUAGAUGUUCUGGGCAGCACGCGCGCUACAAUGGUCUUCGCAAACGGAUGCAUUCUCGAAGGAGAAUGCCAAUCUUGGAAUCUAUGCCUUGGUCGGGACAGUUGCUUGCAAUUUUUCGACUCGAACCAGGAAUUCCUUGUAAUCGUGAUUCAUCGCAUCACGAUGAAUACGUCCCUGCCCUUUGUACACACCGCCCGUCGCUCCUACCGAUUGGAUGGUUUAGUGAGACCCUCGGAUCGGUCCCGACUCGGGGUGGGCUUCUGCCCCGGUCGUGGUUUCGCCGAGAAGACGGUCAAACUUGACUAUCUAGAGGAAGUAAAAGUCGUAACA